UUCGGAAAAGAUAAUAUUCUGAAUAAACAUAACUAUAAUGAAAAAUCAGUUAGGAAUUUUUUUAUAGAAUGAAAUUCUUUGCAAGAGAAGCCCAAAAAAAUUAGUAUUCACUUUGUUGAUAUUAUAUUUUUAUAUAUUUUAACUAUUCAAAAACUAUACAUAAUUAACAGCAAUGUAAUUAUACUAGAUCACACAAUUAACAAGAAAAAAAAGUUACAAGUUACACGAUAUUAGGCUCAUCGCCUUACUGGAGGUUUGAAUAACAUUAUUACUAAUAAGGAAAAACCUAACAAGUGAACAUCUGCAAUCCAAACAAAAAUUAUAUAAAUAGAUUAUGGAAUUUAUUUUGUCACAAAAUUUAAUAUUAAAGACAGUCAAAAAUAAAAAAGCAAACUUUCAUACAAAUAUGAAAUGAACAAAUUCAUGUGUACAAAUUUCUCAAUAUCUUUAAAAAAAAAUUUUGACAUUUAAUUAAAAAUUUUAAUGCCUUUUUCUUUGUUGUUAUCACUAUCCUAAAUACCUUUGGUUCAAAUUCAUUGUUAACAACUACAUUAUCAACCUUCAUAUCUCAAUGUAUAAUUUUGGAAUCACCUUCUGUGUCAAGGCUGCCGUGAUCUGCGUCUGUACUCAUCUUUCAGAAACAAUACCCCGAGCAAGAAGCCAUCAGAGUUGUAGAAUCACCACAGUUACAAUUUACGAUUUGAGAGAGAGCGAGGGAAAAAACAGAUCUGAGUGGAGAAGUAGGUUAGAAAUUUUGAAGAAAAGGUAGGCAACAAUUUUCCUGAUGCAGAAAAUAAAAAAAUAAAUAAAUAAGUAGGUGGAUUCCCAAUACAUCAGAAAACACAAAGCAACACUCUCAAAUCUCAAUAAUUGUCUUCUCAAACCAGCAAUCAACAUUAACAAAAAAAAUCAAAUAAACAAAAAAAAAUAAAAUAAACAAAACAAAACCAUAGCCACACCCAAAAGCCAAACAGAAAAUCAAUUAAUCAAGACAAUCAUAUCAUACCCAAAAGCCAAAAACUCAGAACCUUAGUAAGUUAUUUUCAAUGGCAAACCCUCUUAUUUUGUUUACAAAGUCAGCGCUUACCAUUCUGAGCAAUUAAAGCUAGUAUCGCGGCUAAAGCUUAUAGAUCUGGAGUGAGUAAAGCUCAGCUGGUGAGUUUGAAUUGGAAAUCCACCAUUCUCACUCAAGAAGGGAAUGAGUGGAAGAGAACAGGGGAGACAACGUCGGUUGGCGUCGGGAAGAAGUCGCCGUCAGCAUCACAUCUUCAUGGCAUGAGCAUCUUCUUCGCAGGGUGCAUCUGCAUCACAUAUCUUUGCUAUGAGCAUCACAACUUCGCCAUCGUGGGUUAGGUGGGAGAGAAAACUGAGGGGGGAAAAGAUGAGAACUAUUAUAUGAUGGUCUGGGUGGG
This 1412-nucleotide unclassified non-coding RNA is filed under the name Hevea brasiliensis (rubber tree). Lineage: Eukaryota; Viridiplantae; Streptophyta; Magnoliopsida; Malpighiales; Euphorbiaceae. The record is from RNAcentral.